This 468-nucleotide ribosomal RNA is filed under the name uncultured bacterium. RNAcentral's name for it is "partial 16S ribosomal RNA". It matches the Rfam family "Bacterial small subunit ribosomal RNA", at positions 28 to 507 of the family's 1533-position model. The record is from RNAcentral.
GACGAACGCUGGCGGCGUGCUUAACACAUGCAAGUCGAACGGAAAGGCCCUGCUUUUGUGGGGUGCUCGAGUGGCGAACGGGUGAGUAACACGUGAGUAACCUGCCCUUGGCUUUGGGAUAACUUCAGGAAACUGGGGCUAAUACCGGAUAGGAGCUCCUGCUGCAUGGUGGGGGUUGGAAAGUUUCGGCGGUUGGGGAUGGACUCGCGGCUUAUCAGCUUGUUGGUGGGGUAGUGGCUUACCAAGGCUUUGACGGGUAGCCGGCCUGAGAGGGUGACCGGCAAAAUUGGGACUGAGAUACGGCCCAGACUCCUACGGGAGGCAGCAGUGGGGAAUAUUGCACAAUGGGCGGAAGCCUGAUGCAGCAACGCCGCGUGCGGGAUGACGGCCUUCGGGUUGUAAACCGCUUUCGCCUGUGACGAAGCGUGAGUGACGGUAAUGGGUAAAGAAGCACCGGCUAACUACGUG